RNAcentral lists this long non-coding RNA (462 nucleotides) under Triticum aestivum (bread wheat). RNAcentral's name for it is "long non-coding RNA (TAES_LNC026908)". Lineage: Eukaryota; Viridiplantae; Streptophyta; Magnoliopsida; Poales; Poaceae. The record is from RNAcentral.
UGAAUCUGUCUGGUAGUUCCAUAGAGAAGAGUCAUCGUCCUUCCAUUUUGUUUAGUCAUCAGUUAUAACUUUAUUUUUAUACUACCAUCCUGUAGGGUCGGUAGUCAUUUGAGUGCUAUUUAGUUUACUUGUGACAGAGGGCAGGCCUGGCGCAGUGGUGAAGUCCUCCCCACUUGUGCCAAGAGGUCCUGGGUUCGAACCAGCCUCUCUGCAUUGCACUUUGCAGGGGUAAGACUAGGUUCCUAUAAUCCCUCCCCAGACUCCACCUUGUGUGGGAGCUUCUAUGCACUGGGUCUGUCCUUUUAGUUUACUUGUGACGUUUGAGACAUCCAAUUCCUUUCCUGUAAUUCACGUGCCAUGAGUUUUGAGAAUAUGAGUGUUUACAUGUGUACAGGUUAAUUUUUGAACGGUCGACAUGCUGGAGAAUUCUCCUAUCUGUAGUUACACUGAAUUGUUCAUAGA